Molecule: transfer RNA, 73 nt
Filed under: Acropora cervicornis
Lineage: Eukaryota; Metazoa; Cnidaria; Anthozoa; Scleractinia; Acroporidae
Description: tRNA-OTHER
Source: RNAcentral
GGUCUGGCAGCUCAACUGGUAGAGCACUUAACCGGCUUCACUGAGGUCAGGGUUUGAAUCCCUGUUCAGGUCU